Molecule: long non-coding RNA, 563 nt
Organism: Acipenser ruthenus (sterlet)
Lineage: Eukaryota; Metazoa; Chordata; Actinopteri; Acipenseriformes; Acipenseridae
Exons: 3
Source: RefSeq, a predicted model, not a curated record
AAGGCAUACAUCAUGAUUAACAGAUACCUAUUAUCAGCGUUCACCUCUUCUUUCUCUUUUGGGUCAAAUAGCUGAAUUGCACAAGGGGGUAAAUUGGACAUUGCUUUGUUGACACGUGAGAGAGUAAGAUUGAGAGUCAGAUUGCCUUCCUUGGAACCAUUGGUGGGGUGGAUGCACCCACUCCUGCCCGCAGAAUAAUGGCUGCCUUACUUGGCAGUGAAUUGGCAACCAAGUUCAACUGGAAAGGCCUGGGAAGCAAAAGGUCAUUUUAUGACUUCAAACUUCAAUAUGUGGUGGUUGAUGCUGUACACAGAAAUCAUCUCACAAAGAAAGCGCAGGACUCAGAAAUAGAGACAGUGGCCAUGCUGUGGCAUCGAAAUGUACGCGAUAGGGCGGUGGGGAGGAAGGAGCACCUCCUGAAGGCAAUGAGGAAGCAGCAGCAGGAGCAAAUUGACAUUUGAAUAUGAAAAUGUCCACUUUUUCAGUAACCUGUGUUCUUAAUUUCUUUCUUUAUUAUUUUUAUUUUAAAACUUUCAUGGACACCUUAAUGCUUCAUUUUUAAU